CGCGGGGUGGAGCAGUUUGGUAGCUCGUCGGGCUCAUAACCCGAAGGUCGUGGGUUCAAAUCCCACCCCCGCUACCA
This 77-nucleotide transfer RNA is filed under the name Candidatus Desulfofervidus auxilii. RNAcentral's name for it is "tRNA-Met". It matches the Rfam family "tRNA". Rfam says of the family: Transfer RNA (tRNA) molecules are approximately 80 nucleotides in length. The record is from RNAcentral. Lineage: Bacteria; Pseudomonadati; Thermodesulfobacteriota; Candidatus Desulfofervidia; Candidatus Desulfofervidales; Candidatus Desulfofervidaceae.